CAGCCGCGGUAAUUCAGAGGGUGCAAGCGUUAAUCGGAAUUACUGGGCGUAAAGCGUGCGUAGACGGUUAUUUAAGUCAGGUGUGAAAGCCCCGGGCUCAACCUGGGAAUUGCAUUUGAGACUGAAUAGCUAGGGUGCGGAAGAGGGAAGCGGAAUUUCCGGUGUAGCGGUGAAAUGCGUAGAUAUCGGAAGGAACACCAGUGGCGAAAGCGGCUUCCUGGUCCAGCACCGACGUUCAGGCACGAAAGCGUGGGGAGCAAACAGGAUUAGAUACCCUGGUAGUCCACGCCAUAAACGAUGAGAACUAGACGUUGAGAGGGUAAGCCCCCCAGUGUCGCAGCUAACGCGAUAAGUUCUCCGCCUGGGGAGUACGGCCGCAAGGUUGAAACUCAAAUGAAUUGACGG
Molecule: ribosomal RNA, 405 nt
Filed under: uncultured soil bacterium
Lineage: Bacteria
Description: bacterial SSU rRNA
Rfam family: Bacterial small subunit ribosomal RNA
Source: RNAcentral